Molecule: ribosomal RNA, 468 nt
Filed under: uncultured bacterium
Lineage: Bacteria
Description: partial 16S ribosomal RNA
Rfam family: Bacterial small subunit ribosomal RNA
Source: RNAcentral
GACGAACGCUGGCGGCGUGCUUAACACAUGCAAGUCGAACGGAAAGGCCCUGCUUUUGUGGGGUGCUCGAGUGGCGAACGGGUGAGUAACACGUGAGUAACCUGCCCUUGACUUUGGGAUAACUUCAGGAAACUGGGGCUAAUCCCGGAUAGGAGCUCCUCCUGCUUGGGGGGGGUGGGAAAGUUUCGGCGGUUGGGGAUGGACUCGCGGCUUAUCAGCUUGUUGGUGGGGUAGUGGCUUACCAAGGCUUUGACGGGUAGCCGGCCUGAGAGGGUGACCGGCCACAUUGGGACUGAGAUACGGCCCAGACUCCUACGGGAGGCAGCAGUGGGGAAUAUUGCACAAUGGGCGGAAGCCUGAUGCAGCAACGCCGCGUGCGGGAUGACGGCCUUCGGGUUGUAAACCGCUUUCGCCUGUGACGAAGCGUGAGUGACGGUAAUGGGUAAAGAAGCACCGGCUAACUACGUG